RNAcentral lists this ribosomal RNA (1576 nucleotides) under Myotis atacamensis (Atacama myotis). Its description in RNAcentral is "16S ribosomal RNA". It matches the Rfam family "Bacterial large subunit ribosomal RNA". Lineage: Eukaryota; Metazoa; Chordata; Mammalia; Chiroptera; Vespertilionidae. The record is from RNAcentral.
ACACUAAAAAUAGCUCAAAACAUAUUAAAUAAUACUACCUCAAGACACUAAAAUAAAACAUUCAUAAUAUAAGAGUAUAGGAGAUAGAAAUUCUAUUUGACGCUAUAGAGAAAGUACCGCAAGGGAAAAAAUGAAAGAAAACUUAUAAGUAAAAAAAAGCAAAGCUCAACCCUUGUACCUUUUGCAUAAUGAUUCAACUAGAAAAACAUUAGCAAAAAGAAUUUAAGUUAAAUACCCCGAAACUAGACGAGCUACCCAUUAGCAGCCUAAAGAGCAAACUCAUCUAUGUGGCAAAAUAGUGAGAAGACUAGCGGGUAGUGGCAAUAAACCUAUCGAGCCUAGUGAUAGCUGGUUGUCCAGAACAGAAUUUUAGUUCUAAUUUAAGCUUACUACGAAAAAAAAAUGAAUUUGAAUGUAUGCUUAAACAAUAAUCUAAAAAGGUACAGCUUUUUAGACAGGGGAUACAACCCUCAUUAGUGAGUAAAAAAAAUAAAUCAAAACACCCCAGUUGGCCUAAAAGCAGCCAUCAAACAAGAUAGCGUUCAAGCUCAAUAAUAUAUAAAAAUUAAUUUCAGUUAACAACAAUAAUACUCCUAAUAUACAACUGGACUAUUCUAUUUUUAAAUAGAAGCAAUAAUGUUGAUAUAAGUAACAAGAAAUAUUUCUCCUUGCAUGCGUGUAUAUCAGAACGAAUGCAUCACUGAUAAUUAACAAAUAUAAACAUAAUCAUUUAACUAAUGAACUAAAUAUAAUUGUUAGCCCAACACAGGUAUGCAACCAAGGAAAGAUUAAAAGAAGUAAAAGGAACUCGGCAAACAUAAACCCCGCCUGUUUACCAAAAACAUCACCUCUAGCAUAAAAAGUAUUAGAGGCACUGCCUGCCCAGUGACUUUAGUUUAACGGCCGCGGUAUCCUGACCGUGCAAAGGUAGCAUAAUCACUUGUUCUCUAAAUAAGGACUUGUAUGAAUGGCUUCACGAGGGUUUUACUGUCUCUUACUUCCAAUCAGUGAAAUUGACCUUCUCGUGAAGAGGCGUGAAUAGAAAAAUAAGACGAGAAGACCCUAUGGAGCUUUAAUUAACCAACUCACAAAUUAUAAUAGCAUUCUACCAGAAACAAACCCAUUAUGAUUGAGUUGACAAUUUAGGUUGGGGUGACCUCGGAAUAAAAACCAACUUCCGAGAAAAUUUCAAUUGAGACAAACAAGUCUAAAUUAUCUUAACAAAUACAUAUUGACCCGUUAAUUCUUAAACGAUCAACGAAACAAGUUACCCUAGGGAUAACAGCGCAAUCCUAUUUAAGAGUCCAUAUCGACAAUUAGGGUUUACGACCUCGAUGUUGGAUCAGGACAUCCCAAUGGUGCAGCAGCUAUUAAUGUGUUCGUUUGUUCAACGAUUAAAGUCCUACGUGAUCUGAGUUCAGACCGGAGAAAUCCAGGUCGGUUUCUAUCUAUUUUUAAGUCCCUCCCAGUACGAAAGGACAAGAGAGACAGGGCCCACUUAAAACAAGCGCCCUAACCAAUUAGAUGAAUUAAUAUUAAUCUUACAAUAUACUUCACCUGCCCAAGAACAGGGUUC